AACGUUGGUUGGGAGAUACAGAAGAAUAAGAACAUACAGAAUGAGAAGAGAGAAUAUUUCCACAGCUCCACGGGGUCUUUUCGCAAUUCGCGAUUGGCAAAAGCAUCAUAUUUGCAGGCUACAGCUGUCAGUUUUCAGCAAGGUCAAUUAAACAUGAAAAGAAAGGGAGAGAUAACAGACUUCUGUUCCAAAAGGACCCAAUGACAUUUCAAGAUCCAGAGAAGAGGGUCCUGUACAGCCGUGUUUGAAAACAUUUCCCAGAACUCAGCAUGGUACUAGGAAAAGGGCUGUCAACAGC
This is a non-coding RNA of Salmo salar (Atlantic salmon), 298 nucleotides long. NCBI's taxonomy places the organism in Eukaryota, Metazoa, Chordata, Actinopteri, Salmoniformes, Salmonidae. The record is from RefSeq and is a predicted model, not a curated record.